This 253-nucleotide ribosomal RNA is filed under the name uncultured prokaryote. RNAcentral's name for it is "partial 16S ribosomal RNA". It matches the Rfam family "Bacterial small subunit ribosomal RNA", at positions 525 to 777 of the family's 1533-position model. The record is from RNAcentral.
ACGAAGGGUGCAAGCGUUACUCGGAAUUACUGGGCGUAAAGCGUGCGUAGGUGGUUCGUUAAGUCUGAUGUGAAAGCCCUGGGCUCAACCUGGGAAUGGCAUUGGAUACUGGCGACCUAGAGUGCGGUAGAGGGGUGUGGAAUUCCCGGUGUAGCAGUGAAAUGCGUAGAUAUCGGGAGGAACAUCUGUGGCGAAGGCGGCAGCCUGGACCAAUACUGACGCUGAGGUGCGAAAGCGUGGGGAGCAAACAGGA